RNAcentral lists this ribosomal RNA (433 nucleotides) under uncultured bacterium. RNAcentral describes it as "partial 16S ribosomal RNA". It matches the Rfam family "Bacterial small subunit ribosomal RNA", at positions 29 to 505 of the family's 1533-position model. The record is from RNAcentral.
AGCGAACGCUGGCGGCAGGCUUAACACAUGCAAGUCGAACGGGCAUAGCAAUAUGUCAGUGGCAGACGGGUGAGUAACGCGUGGGAACGUACCUUUUGGUUCGGAACAACACAGGGAAACUUGUGCUAAUACCGGAUAAGCCCUUACGGGGAAAGAUUUAUCGCCGAAAGAUCGGCCCGCGUCUGAUUAGCUAGUUGGUAGGGUAAUGGCCUACCAAGGCGACGAUCAGUAGCUGGUCUGAGAGGAUGAUCAGCCACAUUGGGACUGAGACACGGCCCAAACUCCUACGGGAGGCAGCAGUGGGGAAUAUUGGACAAUGGGCGAAAGCCUGAUCCAGCCAUGCCGCGUGAGUGAUGAAGGCCCUAGGGUUGUAAAGCUCUUUUGUGCGGGAAGAUAAUGACGGUACCGCAAGAAUAAGCCCCGGCGAACUUCG